This 252-nucleotide ribosomal RNA is filed under the name uncultured bacterium. RNAcentral's name for it is "partial 16S ribosomal RNA". It matches the Rfam family "Bacterial small subunit ribosomal RNA", at positions 524 to 776 of the family's 1533-position model. The record is from RNAcentral.
UACGGAGGAUGCGAGCGUUAUCCGGAUUUAUUGGGUUUAAAGGGUGCGCAGGCGGAGGUGCAAGUCAGCGGUCAAAUUGCGGGGCUCAACCCCGUACUGCCGUUGAAACUGCAUCCCUUGAGUGCGCGAGAAGUAUGCGGAAUGCGUGGUGUAGCGGUGAAAUGCAUAGAUAUCACGCAGAACUCCGAUUGCGAAGGCAGCAUACCGGCGCCCGACUGACGCUGAAGCACGAAAGCGUGGGUAUCGAACAGG